Molecule: ribosomal RNA, 468 nt
Filed under: uncultured bacterium
Lineage: Bacteria
Description: partial 16S ribosomal RNA
Rfam family: Bacterial small subunit ribosomal RNA
Source: RNAcentral
GACGAACGCUGGCGGCGUGCUUAACACAUGCAAGUCGAACGGAAAGGCCCUGCUUUUGUGGGGUGCUCGAGUGGCGAACGGGUGAGUAACACGUGAGUAACCUGCCCUUUACUUUGGGAUAACUUCAGGAAACUGGGGCUAAUACCGGAUAGGAGCUCCUGCUGCAUGGUGGGGGUUGGAAAGUUUCGGCGGUUGGGGAUGGACUCGCGGCUUAUCAGCUUGUUGGUGGGGUAGUGGCUUACCAUGGCUUUGACGGGUAGCCGGCCUGAGAGGGUGACCGGCCACAUUGGGACUGAGAUACGGCCCAGACUCCUACGGGAGGCAGCAGUGGGGAAUAUUGCACAAUGGGCGGAAGCCUGAUGCAGCAACGCCGCGUGCGGGAUGACGGCCUUCGGGUUGUAAACCGCUUUCGCCUGUGACGAAGCGUGAGUGACGGUAAUGGGUAAAGAAGCACCGGCUAACUACGUG